UACGAAGGGGGCUAGCGUUGCUCGGAAUCACUGGGCGUAAAGGGCGCGUAGGCGGACAGUUUAGUCAGAGGUAAAAGCCCAGGGCUCAACCUUGGAACUGCCUUUGAUACUGACUGUCUUGAGUUCGGGAGAGGUGAGUGGAAUGCCGAGUGUAGAGGUGAAAUUCGUAGAUAUUCGGCGGAACACCAGUGGCGAAGGCGACUCACUGGCCCGAUACUGACGCUGAGGCGCGAAAGCGUGGGGAGCAAACAGG
Molecule: ribosomal RNA, 253 nt
Filed under: uncultured bacterium
Lineage: Bacteria
Description: partial 16S ribosomal RNA
Rfam family: Bacterial small subunit ribosomal RNA
Source: RNAcentral